AUGGCAGAAUGCUUCAAUAAGGUGCUCAAGGGUGUACGUGCAUUACCCGUGACGGCAAUAGUUCAAUACACAUUUUACAAGAUGAAUGGAUACUUUUUAAAGUACUCAAUGGAGACGGAUAAGCAGAUUGCUGGUGAGAACAAGGAUAAGCACAAGUACUAUUUCCCACCAAAGGUUGAAGAAUGGUUGGACUUUCAAUCACGAAAGGCAGACUCCCAAGAAGCUGUACUAUAUGACGACAACGAGUGGAGGUAUGAAGUGAAAGAGCCUAGAGGAACCACAAACGAUGGCCACCAACACGGAGGUCGCGCUUUCAAGGUCUCCCUAACACGGUGUGAUUGCAGCUGCAUGAGGCCAUAGUUGCUUCAUCUCCCAUGCUCGCACUUGUUAAAUGCAUCCCGUGUUAGGAAUGUGGACGUCAAUCACCCUCUUAUCGUGAGGGAGUCCGAGUUCUCAAUCAUGACGGUAAAGAAUACAUGGGCUCCCCGGUUUCAGCCAUACUUGGACCAAUCACAAUGGCCGGAGUAUCAUGGAGUUCAACUAUGGCCGGACCCG
This 555-nucleotide ribosomal RNA is filed under the name Triticum aestivum (bread wheat). Its description in RNAcentral is "partial small subunit ribosomal RNA". The record is from RNAcentral. Lineage: Eukaryota; Viridiplantae; Streptophyta; Magnoliopsida; Poales; Poaceae.